AGUUCGAUUAUGAAUGAUUGAACGCUAUGGACGCUUACACAUGCAAGUCGAACGGCAGCACGGACUCUGUCCGUCUGGUAUGAGUAUGAAAUGGUGAGUAAUGUACUGAAAUGUGUCAGUAGCGGGGAUAACUACGCGAAAGCGUAGCUAAUACCGCAUACGCCCCGGGUGGCGGGGACCUUCUUCGGGCCUCGCACUAUUAGAGCGGCUGACAUCGGAUUAGCUGUUGCGUACCCGGCUCACCAAGGCGACGAUCCGUAGCUGGUCGAUAGGAAUAUCACGCCACACCGGGACUGAGACACGGCCCAGACUCUCACGGAGGCAGCAGUGGGGAAUUCUGGACAAUGGGGAAACCCUGAUCCAGCCAUCCCUGCGUGCGAUGAAGGCCUCGCUGGUUAAAGCACCCUUUUGGCAGGAAAGAAACGGCAUGGGAUAAUACCCCGUAACUGAUUGGCACUGGCAGGAAUAAGCACCUACACCACGUGCCAGCAGCCGCGGUAAUACGAAAGUAAGCGCGGGACCGGAAUUACCGUAAAAGCGUGCGGCAAGGUUCGGAAAGAAAGAUGAUGUAAAUCCAGAGCUUAACUUGAACUGCAUUUUAACUACCGAGCGAGGUCAGAGUAGGUGGACUCCGCGUAUAUGAAAUGCGUAGAUAUGCGGAGGAACACCGAUGGCGAAGGCAGCCUCCGGGACAACACUUGACGCUCAUGCACGAAAGUGGAGUAAACAGAUUAGAUACCCGGUAGUUCACGCCCAAAACGAUGUCAACUAGCUGUUGGGGCUCUGGCCUUGGUAGCGGCAGCUAACGCGUGAAGUUGACCGCCUGGGGAGUAUUAAUAGUCGCAAGAUUAAAACUCAAAGCACGACGUGGGGACCCGCACAAGUAAGAUGAUGUGGAUUAAUUCGGAUGCAAUGAAACCUGCAUCACCCGUGGAUACGUCUGGAACCUGAAGAGAUUUGGAGGUUUCGCAAGAGAACCGUUACAGGUGCUGCAUGGCUGUCGUCAGCCUGUGUCGCAGAUGUUGCCAGUCUCAACGAGCGCAACCCUUGUCAUUAGUUGCUACGAAAGGCACCGACGAGAUCGCCGGGUGAUGCAAACCGAGGUACGGGACAUCGUCGUCCUCAUGGCCCUUAUGGUGCAGGGAUUCACACGUCAUACACUGCCGGGACAGGAGGAUCGCCAAACCCGCGAGGGGAGCCAAUCCCAGAAACCCGAUCGAACUGACCGCAGUUCAACUCGACUGCGGGGUAGUCGAACGCACCGUGAGAUCGUACGUCGCGGUGAAUGCUGCCCUGGUCUGAAGACACCGCCCGUCGCAGCACCAUGGCGGGCUUUACUCAGGAAGGAAGAAGCCCUAACCGCAUGAGGCAUUGCUCACGGUAGAUUCCAAGACUGGGGUGUCGUAACAGCGGU
RNAcentral lists this ribosomal RNA (1414 nucleotides) under uncultured Bordetella sp. RNAcentral describes it as "partial 16S-23S ribosomal RNA intergenic spacer". It matches the Rfam family "Bacterial small subunit ribosomal RNA". Lineage: Bacteria; Pseudomonadati; Pseudomonadota; Betaproteobacteria; Burkholderiales; Alcaligenaceae. The record is from RNAcentral.